GAAGUGCGAUAAGCAAUGCGAAUUGCAGAACCGUGAGUCAUCAGAUUUUUGAACGCAUCUGGCGCCGGCUGGGUCUCCAGCCGGCAUGCUUGUUUCAGUGUCUUGUUUUCUCCUCACCCAAAUCUUAAUGCGAGAGAUACCCUUCUCUUGUCAAACACGAAAGCACUCUGUGCUCUGCGGGCGGCUUCCUCAGCUUGCUGAUGGGUCGCACUCAAUGCAGCUGUCACAUUGCUUACAAUGUGAACUCGUUGAGAGUAGAGACAGUGCAGCGUAUGCUGUCAGUGCUUAGUCACCUAAACUUUCCUUGCAUCUGAAAUCAAGCAGGACCACCCGCUGAACUUAA
This 343-nucleotide unclassified non-coding RNA is filed under the name uncultured fungus. RNAcentral's name for it is "sequence contains ITS1". The stretch from base 1 to 103 matches the Rfam family "5.8S ribosomal RNA", at positions 50 to 154 of the family's 154-position model. Lineage: Eukaryota; Fungi. The record is from RNAcentral.